CCCUUAGACGUUCUGGGCCGCACGCGCGCUACACUGACCAGUGCAACAAGCAUCCGUCCUUGGCCGACAGGCUCGGGCAAUCUUUGAACGCCGGUCGUGAUGGGGAUAGACUUUUGCAAUUUUUGGUCUUCAACGAGGAAUUCCUAGUAAACGCAAGUCAUCAACUUGCAUUGAUUACGUCCCUGCCCUUUGUACACACCGCCCGUCGCACCUACCGAUUGAAUGGUCCGGUGAAGCCUCCGGAUUGGCGCGCACCUCGGUGCCGCCGAGAAGUUGGCUAAACCUUACCAUUUAGAGGAAGGUGAAGUCGUAACA
Molecule: ribosomal RNA, 315 nt
Filed under: uncultured eukaryote
Lineage: Eukaryota
Description: partial 18S ribosomal RNA
Rfam family: Eukaryotic small subunit ribosomal RNA
Source: RNAcentral